RNAcentral lists this ribosomal RNA (449 nucleotides) under uncultured bacterium. RNAcentral's name for it is "bacterial SSU rRNA". It matches the Rfam family "Bacterial small subunit ribosomal RNA", at positions 328 to 793 of the family's 1533-position model. The record is from RNAcentral.
GUGCCAGACUCCUACGGGAGGCAGCAGUGGGGAAUAUUGCACAAUGGGGGGAACCCUGAUGCAGCGACGCCGCGUGGGUGAAGGAGUAUUUCGGUAUGUAAAGCCCUAUCAGCAGGGAAGAACAAUGACGGUACCUGACUAAGAAGCACCGGCUAAAUACGUGCCAGCAGCCGCGGUAAUACGUAUGGUGCAAGCGUUAUCCGGAUUUACUGGGUGUAAAGGGAGCGCAGGCGGCGCGUUAAGCCUGGUGUGAAAGCCCGCGGCCCAACCGCGGGACUGCAUUGGAAACUGGCGGGCUGGAGUGCCGGAGAGGUAAGCGGAAUUCCUAGUGUAGCGGUGAAAUGCGUAGAUAUUAGGAGGAACACCAGUGGCGAAGGCGGCUUACUGGACGGCAACUGACGCUGAGGCUCGAAAGCGUGGGGAGCAAACAGGAUUAGAUACCCGAGUAC